RNAcentral lists this ribosomal RNA (497 nucleotides) under uncultured bacterium. RNAcentral's name for it is "partial 16S ribosomal RNA". It matches the Rfam family "Bacterial small subunit ribosomal RNA", at positions 28 to 507 of the family's 1533-position model. The record is from RNAcentral.
GAUGAACGCUGGCGGCGUGCCUAAUACAUGCAAGUCGAACGGACAGACCAUGAUCUUGUUCCUCUCACGUUAGCGGCGGGCGGGUGUGUAACGCGUGUAUCCCCUCCUUAUCUUUCUGGGAUAAUUUCGGAACACCGGAUAUAAUCCCGUAUGAUAUAUUGCACCGUGUUGUUCAUUAGUUAGUUACGGUUUUUCUGUCACUUAUAGCUGGUUCCUCGCCGGAUUGGCUGGUUGGUAAGGUACCGGCCUACCACGGCAACGAUGCGUAGCCGACCUGAGGGGGUGAUAGGCCACACUGGAACUGAGACACGGUCCAGACUCCUAAGGGAGGCAGCAGUAGGGAAUCGUAGGCAAUGGGCGAAAGUCUGACGGAGCAACGCCGCGUGAGUGACGAAGGCCCUCGGAUCGUAAAGACCUGUUAUGAGGGAAGAACAGCUGUGGAAGGAAAUAAGGACGUAUUGACGGUAAUUAAUAAGAAAGCAACGGCUAACUACGUG